GCUCUUGCAGUUAAAAUUGGCCCAAUGAGCAUCACCAGAGUAGACUUUGAAGCAGAGGCCGAACAAGAGCACAGUCAGCAGAAUACGUGAUAUUGAUGGUGUUGAACUCUGUCGUUAAUUAAUAGCUGCCUUUCGCUUUCCGUUUUUGAUCCAAACGUUGUCGAUAUAGGUAUGUAAAUUAUUUUCUGCUGGAUCUAAUUUCAGUAGAUAUGCCUAACGACCUACAUGAAUGAAUAUUCUAAUGCACCUAAAGGCCUACGUGAAUGAAUAUUCUAAUGGUUUUGUAAACUUGUCUCAAGACUCUUGGACUCGAUUGCAACAUAAAUGUGCCGGAAAGGAUGGCCAUGUUAGAUUCAAAGUGACUUCCAUAUUAUUGUUAACAUGUUUGGUAAGAUGGACUACAUGAUACUAGAAAGUAUAAUUGUUUGGGGUAAAGAAGAUAUGAUUCUGACAUGUUUAGUUUGAUGGGUUGGACAAUAAUAGAUCAUGUAAAUGAAGUUAUAAACUUGUUAAAAAACUAUCCAAUAUUUGUUCGGUCGGUUUCGGGGCCACGGUUAGUAUUGGAUGGUGCAAACUGGAUUUGGGUUACCUGAAAUUGAAUGCAGAUGAUAUAGUCUCUGUCGAAGAGGAUUUUAUUGAAAUGGGAUUCAUCAUGAGAGAUCAUAAUGGUCUGGUCGUGGUGGCCAGCUCUCGGCAGAUUAGGGGCCUUUUUGACCCUGAAGUUGCUGAAUCAAUUGCCCUGUGUUAUGGUCUCCAGUUGCAAAGGAAAAUGGCUUCAUGGAUUUGGAAGUUGAGUCCAAUGCUCACAGGGUAGUUCACAGUCGAAACCUCGUUUCUUUAUUGGCAUCUAAUGCUGCUAUUUUAAUGGUCCAUUUAAAUGGUUUUUACUAUGGUUUUGGUUCAUACUUGUCUGUUAUGUCAUUUUGUAGAGUGUCAAUGUAAAUGCCUUAAGAUACUUUUGAGCCCUUGCUGAUCUGUCAUUUUUUAUUCAUCUUGCAAACAUUUGCAAGAAGUCUGCUCUUGCAGUUAAAAUUGGCCCAAUGAGCAUCACCAGAGUAGACUUUGGCCGAACAAGAGCACAGUCAGCAGAAUACGUGAUAUUGAUGGUGUUGAACUCUGUCGUUAAUUAAUAGCUGCCUUUCGCUUUCCGUUUUUGAUCCAAAUGUUGUCGAUAUAGGUAUGUAAAUUAUUUUCUGCUGGAUCUAAUUUCAGUAGAUAUGCCUAACGACCUACAUGAAUGAAUAUUCUAAUGUACCUAAAGGCCUACGUGAAUGAAUAUUCUAAUGGUUUUGUAAACUUGUCUCAAGACUCUUGGACUCGAUUGCAACAUAAAUGUGCCGGAAAGGAUGGCCAUGUUAGAUUCAAAGUGACUUCCAUAUUAUUGUUAACAUGUUUGGUAAGAUGGACUACAUGAUACUAGAAAGUAUAAUUUUUUGGGGUAAAGAAGAUAUGAUUCUGACAUGUUUAGUUUGAUGGGUUGGACAAUAAUAGAUCAUGUAAAUGAAGUUAUAAACUUGUUAAAAAACUAUCCAAUAUUUGUUCGGUCGGUUUCGGGGCCACGGUUAGUAUUGGAUGGUGCAAACUGGAUUUGGGUUACCUGAAAUUGAAUGCAGAUGAUAUAGUCUCUGUCGAAGAGGAUUUUAUUGAAAUGGGAUUCAUCAUGAGAGAUCAUAAUGGUCUGGUCGUGGUGGCCAGCUCUCGGCAGAUUAGGGGCCUUUUUGACCCUGAAGUUGCUGAAUCAAUUGCCCUGUGUUAUGGUCUCCAGUUGCAAAGGAAAAUGGCUUCAUGGAUUUGGAAGUUGAGUCCAAUGCUCACAGGGUAGUUCACAGUCGAAACCUCGUUUCUUUAUUGGCAUCUAAUGCUGCUAUUUUAUAGGGCAUCUCAGCUCUUUUAGUUAUUCGCUCUGGACAGUGUUGCUACAUACCUCGUUUGGGAACAACCAAGGCUCAUGGGAUUGCUCAUUUUAUUAUUACUACCCCACGGUCUUAUGAUUAGUUUGAUUGUACUCUGUUUGAUUUUGGGAGGUAGUAGUAUUGAUCGACGUAUAUUUUUUGAUCGAAUAGCUUCCUGUGUCAUCUAUGGUCAGUCUCUUUUCGAGAGAAGAUUUUGUACCUUGCCUGAUUCUAAAGAAAUUCGAGUCAAUUAUCAUAUUUUGUUAGGUUCUUAGAAGCAAUUGAUGACCCUUUUCUUUGCAUUAGAGUUGGUGGAUUUAGUUGUAGAUAUACCGACGUGUCAGGUCGAAGAUUGUUCAUGUCCAUACGAAAGAGGCACAAUGAUGGGUUGAGGACGAUGAAAGAAUGCCGGGUGGAAUUCAAUGAACAUGAAUGCUAAAGAUUCACGGAGGUCUCAAAAAAUAGGGAAAUAGUGUGGUACGGGCUUUUUAGAUAACGUAGUCUUCUACUAUCUAUGUAUAACUUAUGCAUGGGAAUUUGAAGAACACUUUGAUAAUCAUAGUCCGACUUGCAUGUGUUAAGCACGUAGCCUAUAGCUUCUUAGCUAGCUACUUUAUUCAUAGGUUAUUGCUGAUGACAUGACAUAACUAAAUUACAUCUCUUUUCAGGAAAAAAAAAUCCACUAUCCAAUAUCUCCUCUUAGCUAGCCACUUUACUCGCAGGUUAUUGCUGAUGACAUGACAUAAUUGAAUUACAUCUCUUUUCGUCAUGUUCCAUGUCUAUGUUGAUUCCUUUGUCUUUGUGUCUUGACAAGUCCUUGUUGCUGCCUUUGUGUAAACACGAUAUUGUCUUGGUUUGCCUAGUCGUGUUUAGUAUUUUACGUCAAAUAUGUCAUGGAAAAUC
Molecule: long non-coding RNA, 2795 nt
Filed under: Olea europaea (common olive)
Lineage: Eukaryota; Viridiplantae; Streptophyta; Magnoliopsida; Lamiales; Oleaceae
Description: long non-coding RNA (OEUR_LNC006820)
Source: RNAcentral